Molecule: ribosomal RNA, 401 nt
Filed under: uncultured bacterium
Lineage: Bacteria
Description: bacterial SSU rRNA
Rfam family: Bacterial small subunit ribosomal RNA
Source: RNAcentral
GAGGAAUAUUGCACAAUGGGCGCAAGCCUGAUGCAGCAACGCCGCGUGCGGGACGAAGGCCUUCGGGUCGUAAACCGCUUUUCUGGGGAAAGAGCAAGGACGGUACCUCAGGAAUAAGUCUCGGCUAACUACGUGCCAGCAGCCGCGGUAAAACGUAGGAGGCGAGCGUUAUCCGGAUUUACUGGGCGUAAAGCGCACGCAGGCGGCUCUGUAAGUCGGACGUGAAAGCUCUCGGCUUAACCGGGAGAGGCCGUUCGAUACUGCGGGGCUUGAGGUAGGGAGAGGAAUGCGGAAUUCCCGGUGUAGUGGUGGAAUGCGUAGAUAUCGGGAGGAACACCUGUGGCGAAAGCGGCAUUCUGGCCCUCACCUGACGCUGAGGUGCGAAAGCGUGGGUAGCAAAC